UACGUAGGGGGCAAGCGUUGUCCGGAUUUAUUGGGCGUAAAGAGCGUGUAGGCGGUUUGGUAGGUCCGCUGUGAAAACUCGAGGCUCAACCUCGAGACGCCGGUGGAAACCAUCAGGCUAGAGUCCGGAAGAGGAGAGUGGAAUUCCUGGUGUAGCGGUGAAAUGCGCAGAUAUCAGGAGGAACACCGGUGGCGAAGGCGGGAUCCUGGGCCAGUACUGACGCUGAGGAGCGAAAGCGUGGGGAGCAAACAGG
This 253-nucleotide ribosomal RNA is filed under the name uncultured bacterium. Its description in RNAcentral is "partial 16S ribosomal RNA". It matches the Rfam family "Bacterial small subunit ribosomal RNA", at positions 524 to 776 of the family's 1533-position model. The record is from RNAcentral.